AGUGAACGCUGGCGGUAGGCCUAACACAUGCAAGUCGAACGGCAGCACAGUAAGAGCUUGCUCUUACGGGUGGCGAGUGGCGGACGGGUGAGGAAUACAUCGGAAUCUACUUUUUCGUGGGGGAUAACGUAGGGAAACUUACGCUAAUACCGCAUACGACCUACGGGUGAAAGCAGGGGAUCUUCGGACCUUGCGCGAUUGAAUGAGCCGAUGUCGGAUUAGCUAGUUGGCGGGGUAAAGGCCCACCAAGGCGACGAUCCGUAGCUGGUCUGAGAGGAUGAUCCGCCACACUGGAACUGAGACACGGUCCAGACUCCUACGGGAGGCAGCAGUGGGGAAUAUUGCACAAUGGGCGAAAGCCUGAUCCAGCCAUACCGCGUGGGUGAAGAAGGCCUUCGGGUUGUAAAGCCAUUUUGUUGGGAAAGAAAAACAGCAGGUUAAUACCCCGCUGUUCUGACGGUACCCAAAGAAUAAGCACCGGCUAACUUCGUG
Molecule: ribosomal RNA, 492 nt
Filed under: uncultured bacterium
Lineage: Bacteria
Description: partial 16S ribosomal RNA
Rfam family: Bacterial small subunit ribosomal RNA
Source: RNAcentral